GAGCUCAAAUUUGAAAUCUGGCGUCUUUCAGGCGUCCGAGUUGUAAUCUAUAGAGGCGUUUUCCGCGCCGGACCGCGUCCAAGUCUCUUGGAAUAGAGUAUCAAAGAGGGUGACAAUCCCGUACUUGACGCGACAACCGGUGCUCUGUGAUACGUUCUCAAUGAGUCGAGUUGUUUGGGAAUGCAGCUCUAAAUGGGUGGUAAAUUCCAUCUAAGGCUAAAUAUUGGCGAGAGACCGAUAGCGAACAAGUACCGUGAGGGAAAGAUGAAAAGCACUUUGGAAAGAGAGUUAAACAGCACGUGAAAUUGUUAAAAGGGAAACGAUUGAAGUCAGUCGUGUGGGAAGUAUUCAGCCGUCUCUGGCGGUGUAUUUGCUUCUCACGGGUCAACAUCAGUUUGAUCCGGUAGAAAAAGGCGGGAAGAAGGUGGCACCCUCGGGUGUGUUAUAGCUUCCUGUCAUAUGUGCCGGACCAGACUGAGGAACGCAGCUUGCAGCAAUGCCGGGGUUCGCCCACGUACAAGCUUAGGAUGUUGACAUAAUGGCUUUAAACGACCCGUCUUGAAACACGG
RNAcentral lists this ribosomal RNA (569 nucleotides) under Vishniacozyma carnescens. RNAcentral describes it as "partial large subunit ribosomal RNA". It matches the Rfam family "Eukaryotic large subunit ribosomal RNA", at positions 104 to 664 of the family's 3401-position model. The record is from RNAcentral. Lineage: Eukaryota; Fungi; Basidiomycota; Tremellomycetes; Tremellales; Bulleribasidiaceae.